GCAGAGUCUCAGACAGGGAUGAAAUAGAAAACGGGGACCCAAACAAACCAAGGCAAAGAAACCUCGCUGGAUUUCUCGUCAAGUAGAUCUCUACGUCCAAACAAUUCCAGGAGUACAUCAUGACCUCCAGCCCCUCUCGUCAGCAAGUUCUCCAGCUGUACAGGGCUUUGCUACAGUAUGGAAAGACACUGGAAUUUACCGACCAAGAUUACUUUAUGCGGAGAAUAAGAAAAGAGUUCCAAAAAAACAAGACAUUAGUGUCUUCAGAAGAGAAACAAUUUUAUUUUGGAAAGGGAUUGAGCUUUUUAUCCAAGCAACGACUUAUAUGAGGUGUUGUCUGAGUUUGUAUAUAUAUGUGUAUAAUGUGUGGUUGUGUUUGAGGACCUGUGUGUUGUAUGUUAUUUUAGAAGUUACUGAAUAGUAGAAUUUGUAACACAUAUGAAUUAAGUUGUAAAGUUAAAUACUUUGUAUAAUUGAUUUAACAGAAAUUUUGUUAUAUGUAUCAUAAAAUAAAAAGGUUGACAUAUUGUC
Molecule: long non-coding RNA, 531 nt
Organism: Penaeus monodon (black tiger shrimp)
Lineage: Eukaryota; Metazoa; Arthropoda; Malacostraca; Decapoda; Penaeidae
Exons: 2
Source: RefSeq, a predicted model, not a curated record